RNAcentral lists this unclassified non-coding RNA (392 nucleotides) under soil metagenome. Its description in RNAcentral is "partial contains 5.8S ribosomal RNA, internal transcribed spacer 2, and large subunit ribosomal RNA". The stretch from base 1 to 122 matches the Rfam family "5.8S ribosomal RNA", at positions 35 to 154 of the family's 154-position model. The record is from RNAcentral.
GAUGAAGAACGCAGUGAAAUGCGAUACUUGGUGUGAAUUGCAGAAUCCCGUGAACCAUCGAGUCUUUGAACGCAAGUUGCGCCCGAAGCCACUAGGCCGAGGGCACGCCUGCCUGGGCGUCACACGUCGUUGCCCCCCACCAUCUACUCCUUCGGGAUUGCGGGGGGCGGAUGAUGGCCUCCCGUGCGCCUAGCCGCGCGGUUGGCAUAAAUACCAAGUCCUCGGCGACGCACGCCACGACAAUCGGUGGUUGCGAAACCUCGGUUGCCCGUCGUGUGCGUUCGUCGCGCAUCGAGGGCUCGAAAAAAUGCUCGGCUCCGGCUCGGCUUUCAACGCGACCCCAGGUCAGGCGGGGUUACCCGCUGAAUUUAAGCAUAUCAAUAAGCGGAGGA